AAGGCUUUAAGUUAAAAAAACUAAUAGCCUUCAAAGCUAUAAAUAUAAGAAAUCUUUUAAGCCUUA
RNAcentral lists this transfer RNA (66 nucleotides) under Satanas sp. KW-2016. RNAcentral's name for it is "tRNA-Trp". Lineage: Eukaryota; Metazoa; Arthropoda; Insecta; Diptera; Asilidae. The record is from RNAcentral.